AUAAAUGUGAUAUGAUGUGGU
RNAcentral lists this non-coding RNA (21 nucleotides) under Arabidopsis thaliana (thale cress). Lineage: Eukaryota; Viridiplantae; Streptophyta; Magnoliopsida; Brassicales; Brassicaceae. The record is from RNAcentral.